This 203-nucleotide unclassified non-coding RNA is filed under the name fungal sp. RNAcentral's name for it is "partial internal transcribed spacer region". The stretch from base 1 to 46 matches the Rfam family "Eukaryotic small subunit ribosomal RNA", at positions 1786 to 1831 of the family's 1831-position model. The record is from RNAcentral. Lineage: Eukaryota; Fungi.
AAGUCGUAACAAGGUAACCGUAGGUGAACCUGCGGUUGGAUCAUUAACAAAUGUAGAAGGUCUCAAAGACCUAUCUAACUCUUUGUGAAUCGUUUAUUGUCUCUGGCGAGUUUUGCUCGCCAAUUAAACUUUAUAUUAAACUAUUGUCUAAAACCUAGAAAUUUAAACUUAAACAACUUUUAACAACGGAUCUCUAGGCUCUC